Molecule: ribosomal RNA, 1414 nt
Filed under: uncultured soil eukaryote
Lineage: Eukaryota
Description: partial small subunit ribosomal RNA
Rfam family: Eukaryotic small subunit ribosomal RNA
Source: RNAcentral
UCCUGCCAGUAGCAUAUGCUUGUCUCAAAGAUUAAGCCAUGCACGUCCAAGUACGGUAUAUGAGGGGUGGGGUGCCAGGUGGAUCUGGUUUCAGCCUUUACGGGUUGUGCUAGCUAAGCUUGGUUAUCUUGCUUCCAUACACAGCGAAACUGCGGAUGGCUCCGUAAAACAGUGUUAACCUACACGGGGAAAUAUUCACUUUCGGGUGAAUCACAAGGAUAACUGUGGAAACUCCAGAGCUAAUACUUGACCUAUGCCCAGCCUUAAAAACUGGGUGGAGUUGACUGUAGUUGUCUUUGACCCAAUGCGGUUUACGCCGCUUGGUGCUUAGACUGGCUGACUCAAGUCAGACUCCAGAUCGAAGUGCCUAACGGCGUCGACACUCUGUUCGGAACACUGACCUAUCAGCAUGUUGUUACCGGACGGGGGUAACAUGGCAACCACGGGUAACGGGGGAUUAGUGUUCGAUCCCGGAGAGGGAGCCUGAGAGAUGGCUACCACGUCCACGGACGGCAGCAGGCGCGCAAAUUACCCACUCCUAAUGACAGGGAGGUAGUGACGAGACAUAUUGGCUUGCCUUUAAGGGUGAGUCGGAAUGGGAACGAUUUAAACCACCUAUCGAGUAGCAAUUGGAGGGCAAGUCUGGUGCCAGCAGCCGCGGUAAUUCCAGCUCCAAGAGCGUAUAUUAAAGUUGUUGUAGCUAAAAAGCUCGUAGUUGGAUAUUAGGAGGUUCCGGGAGCAUAGGUGAAAUACUCUUGGGUUAAUUGUCAUGUUCAAUGCAUGGCUUAAACCAAAAAAGGUUUCAUCCUUGGGUCAACUGGCAUGAUGUAGGCCGGGUACGCGGUGUGGCUUCUCGGUUUUUCUGAUCGGGAGGUUAUAUCAAACGGUUUUGGCUUCUCAUGUUAGUGGCUAUGUUUCUUAAUGAAGUUGGUCUGGGGGUUCUUUCGAUCAGUUUUGGAUGGUACCUUUUGGUAUUUCACUCACUGGUUAACUCCCUUUCCUCCUUCCAGGUCCUGCCUACUUUCAGGGAAAACCAAUGGUACUGGCCUAUUCGGAGGGGUAUUUCACGAUACUUGCCGGAUGGGGUUAAACCUGUAUUAUUGCCCUGAUAAGGCCCUGUGAACAAAUCACAGCGCUCAAAGCAGACGGUUUCGUCUGUGAGUGAUUUAGCAUGGUACGCCAACGUUAGUUGCAUUGUUGGACGCGUCGUGAGUCCUUCGCGGGAUUUCUGAUGUAACCGAGCUUUCUUUCGAGGGUUCGGCCGGCAGUGAAACGUGGUUAAUGGGGGUGGACGGAGGCAUUCGUACUCUGUGGCGAGAGGUGAAAUUCAAUGACCCACGGAAGACGAACAAAUGCGAAAGCAAAUGUCUAGGACAUUCCCAUCAAUCAGGAACUAAAGUCAGGGGAUCGAAGA